UUUCUGAAUUUUCACCUUCGAGUUGCUUCCAAUUUGCUUGAUCUUGAUCUGGAUUUGCUUGAUUCUUCUUCCUCUUGCUUGCAGUGAUCAAUUGAGAUGAAAAGGGCAAUGAAUUCUUGGAGUUUGAAUUUCAAAACAGAAGGUGAAAUUCAAACUCGAUUUUAAUUGAAAUCUUCAAGAAUUCUAUGGAUUGAGGAGUUUGAGUUGUCUUGGCAAAGCUUGGACAAGGUGUUAAUAAAGUUCUGAGCUCAUUGCAC
This 257-nucleotide long non-coding RNA is filed under the name Lathyrus oleraceus (garden pea). RNAcentral's name for it is "Pisum sativum (pea) long non-coding RNA (PSAT_LNC021320)". Lineage: Eukaryota; Viridiplantae; Streptophyta; Magnoliopsida; Fabales; Fabaceae. The record is from RNAcentral.